CACCGCCGCUUCCGCCGCCGGCUCGCGCACACCGCCCGGAACCGGGAACCCGAACACAUCACCCGACGCCACAUGCUCAACCUGCGCCAGCAACAGUGGCGGCCCCUCCACAACCUUCCCGCCCCGGGAAAUCGACAACAAACCUGACUUGUCGACGUCGUGCAUGCCGGUGUAGUGCCAGUACAACCACGGCCCGCUCAAUGCGACCAGCUUGCCCAGCAACCGCUGAAUAGCACGACCGGCCGCGACACCCGCUGACGCAUUGACCGCGCCC
RNAcentral lists this unclassified non-coding RNA (274 nucleotides) under plant metagenome. RNAcentral describes it as "partial contains 5.8S ribosomal RNA, internal transcribed spacer 2, and large subunit ribosomal RNA". The record is from RNAcentral.